AUGACUCGACAGUUGGGGCCAAGCCAGGCAGGAGCACGAAAUUCAGGGUCUCGUGGGGUAACACAAAAAUAUUUCCCGACAAUUUGCGGUGAAUGUCUUAGCCGCCCAUGGACAGGAGAAUCCGCCUAUCAAAUGGAGAAAGAUCCAGGUCUGGGGGAUUUUUCCCAUUUUGUCCAUCUAUACCAAUCAAGCAGGUUAAAGGAGCCACACCAGGUCCUGUGGGAUGAGGGUGGAAGCAGCCUCCCCCCUGGGAACCACGCCCUGGUCUCUCAUUCCUUUUACCAUUUAUCCAACAAACACCUAUCGAGAGUGUGUUGUACGUAUCAGGCCGACGGAAAAUGCUAUCGGCACGAGAGCGGCAACCAGCUUCCUGCGGUCAUGAUGCCGAUGCAGUUUCAUCCUGAUAAAGGAGAAAGACAAAAGAAAAACCCAGGCUCGGCAAGCUUUGGGGCCGAGGAUGGGGAGACGCAGCGAUUGAUGACCCACUCCCUGAGAAACAGGACCAGGGUGUGCGACUCGUGAUGCGAGCAAAGUGUGUGAGGGUCAUUGCCAUUUUCAAGAAGGAACAAGUAGCCCCUGGCCCGUGCCAUGUGAGGUGCUGCCUGGAGUGGGUUCUACGGUCCUGCUCCUCAGGCAGCUGUUCGGCAAAUGCUCAUCAGGACAGUAUGGCAGAGGAUGCUAAGUGAGGACUCUGGACCUGGAAUCCCCAGUGGCUCACUGGGCAGCGUUGGACUAGUCAGUCACUGUCUCUGGGCUUCUGGUUCCUCCCAGGCUUCUUGUCCAGAUUAGAGAGUGACCAUGGGAGUGCUUGGGUGGCUCAGUCAGCUGGGCAUCUGCCUUCAGCUCGGAGCAGGAUCCCGGGGUUCUGGGAUCAAGCCCCACGUCGGGCUCCCUGCUCAGCGAGGAGUCUGCUUCUCCCUCUCCCUCUGCCCCUGCCCCCCACUCAUGCUGUCUCCCUCUCCCCCUCUCUCAAAUAAAUAAAUAAAUAAAUAAAAAGAAAAAAAAAGA
This 1008-nucleotide long non-coding RNA is filed under the name Neogale vison (American mink). Its description in RNAcentral is "Neovison vison (American mink) lncRNA (ENSNVIG00000004186.1)". The record is from RNAcentral. Lineage: Eukaryota; Metazoa; Chordata; Mammalia; Carnivora; Mustelidae.